GUAACUGCAGCAUAUUUCUUCUUUUAGAUUAUGAAAUUAUUCAACGGGAUGUUUUUCUCACCUUUCUGCCGAUUGAAAAUACAUCAUCGUAUUCUAAAAUCAGCGAGACCUUUCGCAUAAAAUCGACAAUGCGUCGCCCCCAAACAUCCAUAC
Long non-coding RNA from Pogonomyrmex barbatus (red harvester ant), 153 nucleotides. The record is from RefSeq and is a predicted model, not a curated record. Lineage: Eukaryota; Metazoa; Arthropoda; Insecta; Hymenoptera; Formicidae.